GUGGAGCCAGGGCCCAGGGUAGGCCCAGGUCCAUCCCACCACUGGAAGACCCCUGCAGGAUCUCAGUACCAAUUCUGCCCACCUGCAGACCUCUGCUGGAGCUCAGGCCUGGCUCAGAUCUGCUCAUUGACCUGUGUGGGAGCCAGGGCCCAGGCUAGGCCUGGGUCCAUCCUGCCACCUACAGAUCCCUCAGAGCUCAGGCCCCUCCAGUGACCUGUGUGGGAGCCCAGGCCCAGCAAAAGCCUGAAUAUGGACCCACCACCUCCUAGGAGCCCAGGUUUAACCCAAUUCCAUCUUGACACACUGAAGCCAUCCCCACAGCCUUCCACAUGCAGUAGCCUCUACCUUGGGACAACAGACAGGUUUAGAAGCAGCUGCAUCUCAGAGCAGUAAUCCCAAAGACAGUGUGAGGUCCACCUUUUCAGCUCCAUCUCUGAAAGACAUUGCAUUCAUAUUGGGGCACCUCCACUGCCAUCUCAAGGUACCUCCUACAUUGCUGUACAAACUUACUACAGAUAUAAACUAAGAC
Molecule: long non-coding RNA, 529 nt
Filed under: Marmota monax (woodchuck)
Lineage: Eukaryota; Metazoa; Chordata; Mammalia; Rodentia; Sciuridae
Source: RNAcentral